AGGAGUUUGAUCCUGGCUCAGAUUGAACGCUGGCGGCAUGCCUUACACAUGCAAGUCGAACGGCAGCGCGGGAGCAAUCCUGGCGGCGAGUGGCGAACGGGUGAGUAAUACAUCGGAACGUGCCCAAUCGUGGGGGAUAACGCAGCGAAAGCUGUGCUAAUACCGCAUAAGAUCUACGGAUGAAAGCAGGGGACCGCAAGGCCUUGCGCGAGUGGAGCGGCCGAUGGCAGAUUAGGUAGUUGGUGAGGUAAAGGCUCACCAAGCCUUCGAUCUGUAGCUGGUCUGAGAGGACGACCAGCCACACUGGGACUGAGACACGGCCCAGACUCCUACGGGAGGCAGCAGUGGGGAAUUUUGGACAAUGGGCGCAAGCCUGAUCCAGCCAUGCCGCGUGCAGGAUGAAGGCCUUCGGGUUGUAAACUGCUUUUGUACGGAACGAAAAGGUUCUUUCUAAUAAAGAGAGCUCAUGACGGUACCGUAAGAAUAAGCACCGGCUAACUACGUGCCAGCAGCCGCGGUAAUACGUAGGGUGCAAGCGUUAAUCGGAAUUACUGGGCGUAAAGCGUGCGCAGGCGGUUAUGUAAGACAGUUGUGAAAUCCCCGGGCUCAACCUGGGAACUGCAUCUGUGACUGCAUAGCUAGAGUACGGUAGAGGGGGAUGGAAUUCCGCGUGUUAAGCAGUGAAAAUGCGUAGAUAUGCGGAGGAACACCGAUGGCGAAAGGCAAUCCCCCUGGACCUGNACUGACGCUCAUGCACGAAAAGCGUGGCGAGCAAACAGGAUUAAAUACCCUGGUAU
Molecule: ribosomal RNA, 797 nt
Filed under: uncultured beta proteobacterium
Lineage: Bacteria; Pseudomonadati; Pseudomonadota; Betaproteobacteria
Description: bacterial SSU rRNA
Rfam family: Bacterial small subunit ribosomal RNA
Source: RNAcentral